GUGAGUGUAGCUCAGUUGGUAGAGCCCCGGAUUGUGAUUCCGGUUGUCGUGGGUUCGAGCCCCAUCAUUCACCCCA
Molecule: transfer RNA, 76 nt
Filed under: Gammaproteobacteria bacterium
Lineage: Bacteria; Pseudomonadati; Pseudomonadota; Gammaproteobacteria
Also listed under: 3 other names
Description: tRNA-His
Rfam family: tRNA
About the family: Transfer RNA (tRNA) molecules are approximately 80 nucleotides in length. Their secondary structure includes four short double-helical elements and three loops (D, anti-codon, and T loops).
Source: RNAcentral